This 68-nucleotide non-coding RNA is filed under the name Enterocloster clostridioformis. The record is from RNAcentral. Lineage: Bacteria; Bacillati; Bacillota; Clostridia; Lachnospirales; Lachnospiraceae.
ACCAUUAUCAUAAGGUAGUGCUGAACGUACAGAAGUCAGCAGAGGUCAUAGCAGCCAAGAAGCGAAGG